This is a long non-coding RNA of Solanum pennellii, 935 nucleotides long. RefSeq lists it as uncharacterized. The record is from RefSeq and is a predicted model, not a curated record. The transcript has 3 exons. Lineage: Eukaryota; Viridiplantae; Streptophyta; Magnoliopsida; Solanales; Solanaceae.
GUGAAAUAACAGGAGUGGCAGUUGGAUCAGGAUGGCAAGAACUUGUUGCUUAUGUGAACAUAAUAUGUUAUUAUGUCAUUGGAAUUCCUUUGGGUCUUUUUCUUACCUUUUUCAUCAACUUAGGCAUGAAGGGCAUGUGGUAUGGGAUGAUAAUACGAACUACAGUUCAGACAAGUGCUCUCAUUUGGAUAAUUGCAAAGACUGAUAGGGACAAGGAGGUAUAACUUUACGUCUUUUACUUUAAUUAAUCAGGUAUGAAUUUUAAUAAAUAAACAGUUUUACACCAUUAAUAUAAAUCACUUGUUGAUUAUAAUUAUUUAUCAUGAUUUAAUAAUGUUAUAAUGAACAUCUUUAGAAGGUUUGCUACAGAAAUAUUCUGCGAAUAAGUAUGCCCAGACUAUUCCAUCCUAAGGUUGAAACCGGUAGGCAAGAAGGCCGUUUAGGGGAGUAAACAAAGUUGAGGCGCUGUUAGGGUAACUAAUCAAAGAAGAAAGCUGUAGUAGUGACUAGACGAGAUGAUUAGUAAAUCAUUAUUAUUUCAUAAUAAAUAAGUAUAAUCCAUUAAGAGAUUGGAAGGAAUAAAACUUUAGCAAAAAUGAAUAAAAUGAGUACCUACUUAAUUGAUGAUAAUGAUGAAUACAAGAUAUUACUACUUUAUAUACUAAAGGAUCUUAAUACUGAUAUAAAAAGAGAAAUUUAUGAUAAAUUGGUAACACAUGAGAUAAUAGAAAUAACAACCCAAGGUUGGACUGAAUUAACCAUACAAGAUGAACUUUAUUAUGAUAUGUAUGAUUUAUAUGAUGAUUUAGAUAUCGAAGAUUAGAUGUCUGAAAUUUGGAUAAGACGAAGUAUAAAAUAUAGGAAAAAACUAGUUAAAACCCCAAGUAAGUUAAGUAAACUUUUUAAAAUUUUAUACAGAAAAUUAUAAUGGACAA